UACAUAAAUAAACAUAAUAUUCAUUACAUGAUACCUAUAAAAUUGGAUGUUAUUUUUCAACAUCAUUGGCCAAUAUCUCACUGUCUUAAUAAAAAGAUAUCCAAAAAAAAUAAGAUGACCAUCCUAAUGUUACAUGAAUGUCACAAAUUACACUUAGCACUUAAAGAUAGAAUAAUCUAAAAUAUUAAUAGAUAACUAAAUUGC
RNAcentral lists this long non-coding RNA (204 nucleotides) under Arachis ipaensis. RNAcentral's name for it is "long non-coding RNA (AIPA_LNC000241)". Lineage: Eukaryota; Viridiplantae; Streptophyta; Magnoliopsida; Fabales; Fabaceae. The record is from RNAcentral.